ACAGUGUGGUUCAAUCUGUUCCUACUCUCUUUUAAAGGGAUGUUUAAAGGCUUCAGGGGAGCACUGAUUCAUCAGUGAUGAGUCAGCCUGUAGGUUCUCUUAAUUCACUGUGUUGAAGUUGGUUCUUAUGAUUCUGGAGCGCAGAACUGGAUGUCCCAAGGGAUCAUAAAUAGAAAUUAAAUGACCAAACAAAAAAUGUUAAACUGGUUUCUGAGUCAUGUGGUUUCUCAAGGGUGGUGUUAUUUCAGGUGGAAGCUGGAUUCCUAUUGUUCACUUAGUAGAAAAGACAAAACUGGUGAAGGAUGUCUGUAUUCACGAUGGUUAAGAAUUACUUCUUUCCCCCAGCUCCUGGUAAGGUUCCAGGAACACGAAAACUCAGAACAACUGAGUGUUUCAAAUGUUAUCUGUGUCAUGAGUUUGGUUAAGUUGACAUUAAGUAAUUUAUUCAUUUAUUUAUUGCUGAUUAAAACAGUGUUAAAUAAUCAGGCUGGCAUUCUAACCUGGCUGGCUUCAUAUUUACUGACUGUUUCACAAAACAUUUUAAUGAAACUUUCAUCAUAUUUUCUGUUUGUCUUUCCAGAGUCCGCUCUGGAUGAACCGUGGAGAGAACUACGCUGGCUAGACAAACAAAAGGAUCUCCAGUAUGUGCAGCAGUACCAACCUCAAAAAGAGGGCAUCACUUACCUUCGAGUCCUGCUGUAUGGACCUGUUGGACCUGGAAAAUCCAGUUUCAUCAACUCUGCUAGUAAUGUCUUUCAAGAGCAAAUGACAAUUCCUGCCUUUGCCGAUGCGACAGCCUCCAAAAAAAGCUUCACCAGAGUGUAUGAGACUCAUAAAUUCAGCAAAGGACGAGGAAGCUCAAAGACAUUUUUCCCCGUGGUCUUCAAUGAAAUCAUGGGUCUGGAAGAGGGGGAAGACCGUGGAGUUUAUGCUGACGACAUCAAGAUGGCUUUGGAAGGUCAUGUGAUGGAAGGCUACACGUUCAAUCCAGCUUCUCCACUAAUCAAAAAUAAUAUAGGCUAUAACAGGACCCCAUCUGCUGACGACAGAGUUCAUGUCCUGGUCUGUGUGGUGUCGGCCAACGCUUCAGAGAUUAAUCCUUCAGUUCUGAAGAAGAUGAAAAGCAUCAGAGAAACAGCUACGAACCUGAGAAUUCCUCAAAUAGCCAUUAUGACCCACAUCGAUGAUGCCUGUGGUGAAAUUCAGAAAGAUCUGAAAAAUGUGUACAAGAGUAAAUACCUGAGGAAAAAGAUGAAAGACUUCAGUGCAGAUAUGGGAUUCCCUCUGAACUGCAUCUUUCCUGUGAAAAACUACAUUGAAGAAAUCGACCUGAAGGAUGAUGUUGACUUUCUGAUCCUGAGCGCCCUGAAGAAAAUGGUCGACUUUGGAGACAACUUCAUCGAGAACAUCUGUUGAGAUUUAAAGGAAACUCUGAUGUGGAGGGAUUCAGUUAUUUGUUACAAUAAGGAAGUUCAACCAACAAACAGGACGCCUACUGCACUCUUAGAUCUGGAGAUUACCUCAAAGGGAAAUCAGAGGAGGAACCAGAACAUCUCCAGUAUACAACCGUUUAUUUUCUUGAUCUUUUGUUCUCCUUUAUGUCCUGGUGAUUUUACACACCAGUCCUGCUUCAGGGCUAGAAAUAUAUCAUAUAUUGGAGUAUUAUACACCCUGUCACAAUACUUUAUCAGCAUAAUAAAUUAUUUUACAUUGGCCAUCAAGCUUUUAUACUUUUCCAUAAUUUUCUUUACACAGAUGACCUCCUACAUCAGACAACUGGCUGAAUUGUUUUCUUCUUAAAAACACGAGUUAAUUUUCUCCACACAAUAAUUUCAUUACAUAUUAAAUGAAAUUCAUAUCAUAUUCAAAUCUUAAUUAAAACAAAUAUCUCUGCAAAGCAGUAACAUGUGGUUUCAAGUACAUACAGUCAGUUGAAGUACACUUACAUUUAAAAUACUAGCAAUUGUGGAAGUUACAACACAGCAUAUGAUUUUUUGACUUCACGGCUGUCUGGGUUAAGGGGGAGGAAGAAAGACGACAGUGGUUUUCCCCUCUCCCUGCUGAGAGGAAACAGCAUUAAAAUUACAGCUCUGCAUGUUGGAAUGUGCUCACCGAACAGGUUGUUCCAAGCUGUCUAGCUGGGAGUAGCAGCCACAUUCCUCCUUGUUUAUUGGACCUGCCAUGAUAGUCCUCGCCUCCAUGGACCUCUGUUUUAUCUGUGUUUUUCCUUCAUCUUCCUAAAGUAACCUGCUGAAAUGAUGUUCUGCUGGAAGUAAAUAUUUGUCUUGUCAGAUGCUCUGGUCCAAAAUGAAGUCAUCCUGGCUCCAAUGUGUUCCAGACAUGCUUGUAGUCAGAAUAACUGAUCGGAUUCAAUAAGAUUUAUGGAUAAAUAUAGAUGAUUAUCAUCAGCAUAACAAUGGAAAUCCAUCCCACGCUCUGUGAUUAUUUUACCAAAUGGUAGCAGAUAUACAGUCAUAUACAAUAAGUUAGUAUGUGCGUUCUGUUUUUUAGAUGAGAAGUACCUUGCAAAAAUAACCUUUAAGCAGGUAUGAACCAUACUUUUCAUAUUGCCAACGUCUGUAUUGAUAUGUUUUAUUAAUUGAUUUAAUGUAUAUUCUUAAAUAUCAUGGUUUCAUUAACUGUGAGUGGAAAAGCAUCAUAAUUAAUGGAAAUAAAAGCUUGAAAACAUCAA
This is an RNA transcript of Girardinichthys multiradiatus, 2692 nucleotides long. It is a transcript of the gene named interferon-induced protein 44-like, with no coding region annotated. The record is from RefSeq and is a predicted model, not a curated record. NCBI's taxonomy places the organism in Eukaryota, Metazoa, Chordata, Actinopteri, Cyprinodontiformes, Goodeidae. The transcript has 9 exons.